RNAcentral lists this ribosomal RNA (2915 nucleotides) under Dickeya lacustris. Its description in RNAcentral is "23S ribosomal RNA". It matches the Rfam family "Bacterial large subunit ribosomal RNA". The record is from RNAcentral. Lineage: Bacteria; Pseudomonadati; Pseudomonadota; Gammaproteobacteria; Enterobacterales; Pectobacteriaceae.
GGUUAAGCGACUAAGCGUACACGGUGGAUGCCUAGGCAGUCAGAGGCGAUGAAGGGCGUGCUAAUCUGCGAUAAGCGUCGGCAAGGUGAUAUGAACCGUUAUACCCGACGAUACCCGAAUGGGGAAACCCAGUGUGUUUCGACACACUAUCACACACUGAAUUCAUAGGUGUGUGAGGCGAACCGGGGGAACUGAAACAUCUCAGUACCCCGAGGAAAAGAAAUCAACCGAGAUUCCCCCAGUAGCGGCGAGCGAACGGGGAAGAGCCCAGAACCUGAAUCGGCUUGUGUGUCAGUGGAAGCGUCUGGAAAGGCGCACGAUACAGGGUGACAGUCCCGUACACGAAGAUGCACAGGUCGUGAGUUCGAUGAGUAGGGCGGGACACGUGGUAUCCUGUCUGAAUAUGGGGGGGACCAUCCUCCAAGGCUAAAUACUCCUGACUGACCGAUAGUGAACCAGUACCGUGAGGGAAAGGCGAAAAGAACCCCGGCGAGGGGAGUGAAAUAGAACCUGAAACCGUGUACGUACAAGCAGUGGGAGCCUUGAUUUAUCAGGGUGACUGCGUGCUACCUUUUGUAUAAUGGGUCAGCGACUUAUAUUCUGUAGCAAGGUUAACCGAGAGGGGAGCCGCAGGGAAACCGAGUCUUAACUGGGCGUUAAGUUGCAGGGUAUAGACCCGAAACCCGGUGAUGAUCAGCCAUGGGCAGGUUGAAGGUUGGGUAACACUAACUGGAGGACCGAACCGACUAAUGUUGAAAAAUUAGCGGAUGACUUGUGGCUGGGGGUGAAAGGCCAAUCAAACCGGGAGAUAGCUGGUUCUCCCCGAAAGCUAUUUAGGUAGCGCCUCGUGAAUUCAUCUUCGGGGGUAGAGCACUGUUUCGGCUAGGGGGCCAUCCCGGCUUACCAACCCGAUGCAAACUGCGAAUACCGAAGAAUGUUAUCACGGGAGACACACGGCGGGUGCUAACGUCCGUCGUGAAGAGGGAAACAACCCAGACCGCCAGCUAAGGUCCCAAAGUCAUGGUUAAGUGGGAAACGAUGUGGGAAGGCCCAGACAGCCAGGAUGUUGGCUUAGAAGCAGCCAUCAUUUAAAGAAAGCGUAAUAGCUCACUGGUCGAGUCGGCCUGCGCGGAAGAUGUAACGGGGCUAAAACCAUGCACCGAAGCUGCGGCAGCGACACUUAUGUGUUGUUGGGUAGGGGAGCGUUCUGUAAGCCUGUGAAGGUGGCCUGUGAGGGCUGCUGGAGGUAUCAGAAGUGCGAAUGCUGACAUAAGUAACGAUAAUGCGGGUGAAAAACCCGCACGCCGGAAGACCAAGGGUUCCUGUCCAACGUUAAUCGGGGCAGGGUGAGUCGACCCCUAAGGCGAGGCUGAAAAGCGUAGUCGAUGGGAAACAGGUUAAUAUUCCUGUACUUGGUGUUACUGCGAAGGGGGGACGGAGAAGGCUAUGUCAUCCGGGCGACGGUUGUCCCGGUUUAAGCGUGCAGGUGGGUGGACCAGGCAAAUCCGGUCUGCUGUUAACACUGAGGCGUAAUGACGAGGUACUACGGUACUGAAGUGACAGAUGCCCUGCUUCCAGGAAAAGCCUCUAAGCAUCAGGUAACAUUGAAUCGUACCCCAAACCGACACAGGUGGUCAGGUAGAGAAUACUCAGGCGCUUGAGAGAACUCGGGUGAAGGAACUAGGCAAAAUGGUGCCGUAACUUCGGGAGAAGGCACGCUCCUGUUGGUGAAGUCCCUUGCGGACGAAGCUGACGGGAGUCGCAGAUACCAGCUGGCUGCAACUGUUUAAUAAAAACACAGCACUGUGCAAACACGAAAGUGGACGUAUACGGUGUGACGCCUGCCCGGUGCCGGAAGGUUAAUUGAUGGGGUCAGCCGCAAGGCGAAGCUCUUGAUCGAAGCCCCGGUAAACGGCGGCCGUAACUAUAACGGUCCUAAGGUAGCGAAAUUCCUUGUCGGGUAAGUUCCGACCUGCACGAAUGGCGUAAUGAUGGCCAGGCUGUCUCCACCCGAGACUCAGUGAAAUUGAACUCGCUGUGAAGAUGCAGUGUACCCGCGGCAAGACGGAAAGACCCCGUGAACCUUUACUAUAGCUUGACACUGAACCUUGAGCCUUGAUGUGUAGGAUAGGUGGGAGGCUUUGAAGUGUGGACGCCAGUCUGCAUGGAGCCAACCUUGAAAUACCACCCUUUAAUGUUUGAUGUUCUAACGCGGGGCCCCUAAUCGGGGUUGCGGACAGUGUCUGGUGGGUAGUUUGACUGGGGCGGUCUCCUCCCAAAGAGUAACGGAGGAGCACGAAGGUUAGCUAAUCCUGGUCGGACAUCAGGAGGUUAGUGCAAAGGCAUAAGCUAGCUUGACUGCGAGAGUGACGGCUCGAGCAGGUGCGAAAGCAGGUCUUAGUGAUCCGGUGGUUCUGAAUGGAAGGGCCAUCGCUCAACGGAUAAAAGGUACUCCGGGGAUAACAGGCUGAUACCGCCCAAGAGUUCAUAUCGACGGCGGUGUUUGGCACCUCGAUGUCGGCUCAUCACAUCCUGGGGCUGAAGUAGGUCCCAAGGGUAUGGCUGUUCGCCAUUUAAAGUGGUACGCGAGCUGGGUUUAGAACGUCGUGAGACAGUUCGGUCCCUAUCUGCCGUGGGCGUUGGAAGAUUGAGAAGAUCUAUCCCUAGUACGAGAGGACCGGGAUGGACGAACCUCUGGUGUGUCAGUUGUUCCGCCAGGAGCACCGCUGAUUAGCUACGUUCGGAACGGAUAACCGCUGAAAGCAUCUAAGCGGGAAACUCGCCUGAGAUGAGUCUUCCCUGGGCCCUUGAGGCCCCUGAAGGGACGUUUAAGACGAAGACGUUGAUAGGCUGGGUGUGUAAGCGCAGCGAUGCGUUGAGCUAACCAGUACUAAUGACCCGAGAGGCUUAACCUU